This 440-nucleotide ribosomal RNA is filed under the name uncultured bacterium. Its description in RNAcentral is "partial 16S ribosomal RNA". It matches the Rfam family "Bacterial small subunit ribosomal RNA", at positions 338 to 795 of the family's 1533-position model. The record is from RNAcentral.
CCUACGGGAGGCAGCAGUGAGGAAUAUUGGGCAAUGGCGGCAACCCUGACCCAGCCAUGCCGCGUGAGUGAAGAAGGUCUUCUGAUUGUAAAGCUCUUUCGGUCGUGACGAUGAUGACGGUAGCGUCUAAAUAAUCCCCGUCAAACUUCGUGCCAGCAGCCGCGGUACAACGAAGGGGGCGAGCGUUGUUCGGAAUUACUGGGCGUAAAGGGAGUGUAGGCGGAUAUGUAAGAUUGCGGUGAAAUGCCGGGGCUCAACCCCGGAACUGCCAUUAUGACUAUGUAUCUAGAGUAAUGGAGAGGAUAGCGGAAUACCCAGAGUAGAGGUGAAAUUCGUAGAUAUUGGGUAGAACACCGAUGGCGAAGGCAGCUAUCUGGCCAGUGACUGACGCUGAGGCUCGAAAGCAUGGGGAUCAAACAGGAUUAGAUACCCGGGUAGUC